AAUGUCGUAACAAGGUUUCCGUAGGUGAACCUGCGGAAGGAUCAUUAAUGAAAGUGUAAGGGAUGCUCUUUUUGAGAGGUCCCGACCAAAUUCAUUUUGCCCCUUCUACACUGUGCACACACUACACUUUUUAACACCUUUUGAACCUUCAGUUUUAAGAAUGUAUAACAGUCUCUUUAUUGAGCAUAAAUUAAAGUAAAAU
RNAcentral lists this unclassified non-coding RNA (202 nucleotides) under plant metagenome. Its description in RNAcentral is "partial contains small subunit ribosomal RNA and internal transcribed spacer 1". The stretch from base 1 to 47 matches the Rfam family "Eukaryotic small subunit ribosomal RNA", at positions 1785 to 1831 of the family's 1831-position model. The record is from RNAcentral.